This 253-nucleotide ribosomal RNA is filed under the name uncultured bacterium. Its description in RNAcentral is "partial 16S ribosomal RNA". It matches the Rfam family "Bacterial small subunit ribosomal RNA", at positions 524 to 776 of the family's 1533-position model. The record is from RNAcentral.
UACGAAGGGGGCUAGCGUUGCUCGGAAUGACUGGGCGUAAAGGGCGCGUAGGCGGUUCAUAGAGUUGGACGUGAAAUUCCUGGGCUUAACCUGGGGGCUGCGUUCAAUACCUGUGGACUAGAGUGGGGAAGAGGGUCGUGGAAUUCCCAGUGUAGAGGUGAAAUUCGUAGAUAUUGGGAAGAACACCGGUGGCGUAGGCGGCGACCUGGUCCUUUACUGACGCUGAGGCGCGAAAGCGUGGGGAGCAAACAGG